CAGGUUCAGACAUUUGGUGUAUG
Molecule: non-coding RNA, 23 nt
Filed under: Cricetulus griseus (Chinese hamster)
Lineage: Eukaryota; Metazoa; Chordata; Mammalia; Rodentia; Cricetidae
Source: RNAcentral